CAGAACAUAGCUAAACCAGUAAAGCAUCUCCCUUACACCGAGAAGUUGUCUAUGCAAAUUAGACUGUUCUGA
Molecule: transfer RNA, 72 nt
Filed under: Corythoichthys flavofasciatus (network pipefish)
Lineage: Eukaryota; Metazoa; Chordata; Actinopteri; Syngnathiformes; Syngnathidae
Description: tRNA-Val
Rfam family: tRNA
About the family: Transfer RNA (tRNA) molecules are approximately 80 nucleotides in length. Their secondary structure includes four short double-helical elements and three loops (D, anti-codon, and T loops). Further hydrogen bonds mediate the characteristic L-shaped molecular structure. tRNAs have two regions of fundamental functional importance: the anti-codon, which is responsible for specific mRNA codon recognition, and the 3' end, to which the tRNAs corresponding amino acid is attached (by aminoacyl-tRNA synthetases). tRNAs cope with the degeneracy of the genetic code in two manners: having more than one tRNA (with a specific anti-codon) for a particular amino acid; and 'wobble' base-pairing, i.e. permitting non-standard base-pairing at the 3rd anti-codon position.
Source: RNAcentral